UACCACGUGAACGAUGAAGGUCUUCUGAUUGUAAAGUUCUUUUACUUAGGAAAAAAAGCUUGACAGGAAAUGGUUAAGCCUUGAUCGUACUAGGUGAAUAAGUGACAGCUAACUAUGUGCCAGCAGCUGCGGUAACACAUAGGUCACAAGCAUUAUCCGGAUUUAUUGGGCGUAAAGGAAGCGUAGGCGGACAGUCUGAUCCAUUGUUAAAUGCACUUGCUCAACAAGUGUAUGCAGUGGAGAUCUCCUGUCUAGAAUUAAUUAGGAGAAACUGGAAUUCAAUGUGUAGUGGUGGAAUACGUAGAUAUAUUGAGGAACACCAAAGGCGAAAGCAAGUUUCUAGGAUAUAAUUGACGCUGAGGCUUGAAAGCGUGGGGAGCAAAUGGGAUUAGAUACCCCAGUAGUCCACGCCGUAAACGAUGGGUAUUUGGUAUUUGGGCUGGACCUGAGUGCCGGAGCUAACGCGUUAAAUGCCCCGCCUGGGUAGUAUAUAUGCAAAUAUGAAACUCAAAGAAAUUGACGGGGAUCUGAACAAGUGGUGGAGCAUGUUGCUUAAUUCGAUAAUACACGAAAAACCUUACCAAGGCUUGUAAUCUUCUGCAAAAGUGUAGAAAUACAGUGGAGUAUAUCAGAAUGACAGGUGGUGCAUGGCUGUCGUCAGCUCGUGUCUUGAGAUGUUUGGUUAAGUCCCGUAACGAGCGCAACCCCUCUCAUUAGUUAAUUAGUUCUAAUGUGACUGAAUCGUAAGAUAUAGGAAGGAUGGGGCCAAGUCAAGUCAUCAUGCCCCUUAUGCCUUGGGCUGCAAACGUGCUACAAUGGUAGGUACAAUGUGUUGCAACUUAGCGAUAAUGAGCU
This 855-nucleotide ribosomal RNA is filed under the name uncultured Mycoplasma sp. RNAcentral describes it as "bacterial SSU rRNA". It matches the Rfam family "Bacterial small subunit ribosomal RNA", at positions 395 to 1269 of the family's 1533-position model. The record is from RNAcentral. Lineage: Bacteria; Bacillati; Mycoplasmatota; Mollicutes; Mycoplasmatales; Mycoplasmataceae.